GCCGGGAUAGCUCAGGGGUAGAGCAACUGAUUCGUAAUCAGUAGGUCGGGGGUUCAAUUCCCCCUCCCGGCU
This 72-nucleotide transfer RNA is filed under the name Deltaproteobacteria bacterium RIFCSPLOWO2_02_FULL_50_16. Its description in RNAcentral is "tRNA-Thr". It matches the Rfam family "tRNA". Rfam says of the family: Transfer RNA (tRNA) molecules are approximately 80 nucleotides in length. Their secondary structure includes four short double-helical elements and three loops (D, anti-codon, and T loops). The record is from RNAcentral. Lineage: Bacteria; Deltaproteobacteria.